This 1594-nucleotide unclassified non-coding RNA is filed under the name Hevea brasiliensis (rubber tree). Lineage: Eukaryota; Viridiplantae; Streptophyta; Magnoliopsida; Malpighiales; Euphorbiaceae. The record is from RNAcentral.
GCAGCUCAUACAAUAAUAAAUAUGUAUAAUCAAUGAAAUCAGAAAGAUAGGAUUAUGACCCCUUCAUCAUAUCAAGAUUUGGUCGUGAAACUAAUGCAUAUGUACCACGUCAGGGCAUGGACAGCAUGGACAAAAUUGGGUCUAGCAAGUCCAGCUGAGUCUAUGCUACUUCUAUUUUUAAAACCUGGAGAAACUCCGUCAUCACCAAAAUAGAGGGUACCUGAAAACCUUUGUACUUGAUGAGCUCUUUGAUCCUGUCAACGACAUAAAGCAAUCCAUCCUCAGUAAAGUACCCAAGAUCUCCUGUAUGAACCCAGCCCUGAUUAUCUAUAGUGAGCAUUGUGGCCUGUGGAUUGUUGAAAUAGCCUUUCAUCAUAUUGGGACCACGGACCCAUAUUUCACCUAAUUGCCCAGGAGGAAGAGGCUUCGAUUUAUCAACACUAACUAUUUGAGCUUCAAUUCCAGGAGCUAAAGACCCUGCUGAUCCUGUAUGUCUAGGACCUACACACAUAUUCUCCACUGAAACAAUUCCACAGGUUUCUGUCAUACCGUAUCCCUGCAUAACAACAGCCUGAGGGAAGUUCUUAGCGCAAUCCUCCAUCAAAUCCUUCCCUAAAGGCGCAGCCCCGGAUCCAAUUUGCUUUAUCGACGUUAAAUCAUACUUCUUCACCACAGGAUUCUUAGCCAAUGCUAAAACAAUCGGAGGUACAAUCCAUAAAUGACUCACUCUAUACUUAUCAAUAUUCUUCAAAAGCGUUUCCAAAUCAAAUUUCGCCAUAGAUACAAUAGCAUUACCCCUUUGCAACUGUGAGUACAUGAUAACAGCAAGACCAAACACAUGAAACAUAGGCAAAACACACAUAUACACAUUAUGCAUUUCCCCAGCCAAAUCUUGAUCACUAGAUACCAUUAAAGCCGCCGAUAUGAAAUUCCUAUGAGUUAACACAACACCUUUACUAACCCCCGUUGUACCCGAAGAAUACAACAGUACAGCAGUAUCAGUUUGUUUCACCACAGUUUUAUCCAAAUCAAAACACCCAGCUUUAUCCACUAGCUCAGUAAACCUUACAACACCUGCAUUAUUCGAAUUCGAAUUUCCCAAAAGCAAAAUAGGCAAAUUAAAACUAUUAACUUUAUCAAACAAUUCAGGAGAAGUAAUAAUAAGGCUUGGUUUACAAUCUUUAAUUUGCUUAGAAAGUUCAGCAACAGUAUACAUAGGAUUAACAGUUGUAGCAAUAGCACCAAUAGCAAUAACCCCAAAGAAACUUAAAGGAAAUUGAACAGAAUUUGGGGCAAAUAUCAAAACAACGUCAUUUUUCUUGAUACCCAUUUGGUGAAUAAGUCCAUGAGAGAUUCUUGACACCAUAGAUUUGAACUGAGAAAAAGAUAAAGUUCCACCAUUAUCAGCAUCAAAAAACGCAGGUUUUUCAGGGUAAGAUGAAAUCUUUCUGAAUAAAAAAGAAACCAUAGAUAAAUUUUCAUCUUUUGGAUAAAAUACAGGUGGUCUAAGAGAUCUGUAUACCCCAUCACGGCCAUAACCAGAUUUCUCCAUAACAAUCAAAAAUCAAAUUUUUUUUUUUGCUUUGCAAAAAUU